GAUGAACGCUGGCGGCGUGCCUAAUACAUGCCAGUCGAGCGAACAGACGAGGAGCUUGCUCCUCUGACGUUAGCGGCGGACGGGUGAGUAACACGUGGAUAACCUACCUAUAAGACUGGGAUAACUUCGGGAAACCGGAGCUAAUACCGGAUAAUAUAUUGAACCGCAUGGUUCAAUAGUGAAAGACGGUUUUGCUGUCACUAAUAGAUGAAUCCGCGCCGCAUUAGCUAGUUGGUAAGGUAACGGCUUACCAAGGCAACGAUGCGUAGCCGACCUGAGAGGGUGAUCGGCCACACUGGAACUGAGACACGGUCCAGACUCCUACGGGAGGCAGCAGUAGGGAAUCUUCCGCAAUGGGCGAAAGCCUGACGGAGCAACGCCGCGUGAGUGAUGAAGGUCUUCGGAUCGUAAAACUCUGUUAUUAGGGAAGAACAAAUGUGUAAGUAACUAUGCACGUCUUGACGGUACCUAAUCAGAAAGCCACGGCUAACUACGUG
RNAcentral lists this ribosomal RNA (497 nucleotides) under uncultured bacterium. RNAcentral describes it as "partial 16S ribosomal RNA". It matches the Rfam family "Bacterial small subunit ribosomal RNA", at positions 28 to 507 of the family's 1533-position model. The record is from RNAcentral.